RNAcentral lists this ribosomal RNA (438 nucleotides) under uncultured Gammaproteobacteria bacterium. RNAcentral's name for it is "bacterial SSU rRNA". It matches the Rfam family "Bacterial small subunit ribosomal RNA", at positions 1087 to 1525 of the family's 1533-position model. The record is from RNAcentral. Lineage: Bacteria; Pseudomonadati; Pseudomonadota; Gammaproteobacteria.
CCGCACGAGCGCACCCUUGCCCUAUGUUGCCAGCGGAUCAUGCCGGGGACUCAUGGGGGACUGCCGGUGAUAAACCGGAGGAAGGUGGGGACGACGUCAAGUCAUCAUGGCCCUUACGCCCAGGGCUACACACGUGCUACAAUGGCCGGCACAAAGGGCUGCCAACCUGCGAAGGUGAGCGAAUCCCAAAAAGCCGGUCUAAGUUCGGAUUGUAGUCUGCAACUCGACUGCAUGAAGUCGGAAUCGCUAGUAAUCGUGUAUCAGCAACGACACGGUGAAUACGUUCCCAGGCCUUGUACACACCGCCCGUCACACCAUGGGAGUGGGCUGUACCAGAAGUAGGUAGUCUAACCUUCGGGAGGACGCUUACCACGGUGUGGUUCAUGACUGGGGUGAAGUCGUAACAAGGUAGCCCUAGGGGAACCUGGGGCUGGAUCA